UAAUUAUUAAACACUAAAAAAAAUCUGUGACCCCAGUGAUUGUUGCACCAUAUAGUGAACCGAAUUUUGAACAAAAACAAAAAUAUUCCGUCAACUAAAAAAAAAUAGCCCAUUUCAUACAGAAAUUAAUUGAAGUAGCAUUAAGAAAUUAAACUAAAUAUACCUUGCAAAUAGUCACCAAGUCCAUCUCUUUACAAUUUAAUUCAGGAAAACAGAACUUGGUCUUUUCUUAUCAACACUCCCUCUGAUCAGAAAAUUAAAAUGAUUGAUCAUCAAAACUACAUCAAAUUAGCUUAAUUUAUUCUAAAAAUAAAAAAUAAAAAAAAUAAAAAAGUCGUCCAGUUAUAUAUUCGUGCAUGCAUGUGUGUCUGAGCAGUGAAAGAUAGAUUGAUCGGAUACCUCACGGUGAUUCCUACUCUCUCCUUCUCGGUGGUCUGUUGAAUUUUUGUGACCCAACCCUGCGGAAGAUGAAGCUGCCAACUCCCGGACGUGUCGUCAGUUUAUUAAUUCCGGUGUACGGCCGCCAACGCGCCCGGGUUUUGAUCUGUCUUCCCACUGUUCAGUGUUCCUUGGGUGGGACACUCAGUGGGUGACGUGAAGCGGUGAAGGUCUCGGUGAUGGCAUAAAAAUGUUGUACAUGGAAGGCUAUUUGGUCCGUUGAUUUGAGAGAAUUUGAUUUAUAUGAUUGUAUCACUAAUGUUUGGCAAAGCAAAAUUCCCUUAAUUCAGCCAAACAUUGCGAAAAAUCCUUAGAAUUAC
Molecule: long non-coding RNA, 758 nt
Filed under: Olea europaea (common olive)
Lineage: Eukaryota; Viridiplantae; Streptophyta; Magnoliopsida; Lamiales; Oleaceae
Description: long non-coding RNA (OEUR_LNC013469)
Source: RNAcentral